This is a non-coding RNA of Pelobates cultripes (western spadefoot toad), 216 nucleotides long. The record is from the annotation of a GenBank genome assembly. NCBI's taxonomy places the organism in Eukaryota, Metazoa, Chordata, Amphibia, Anura, Pelobatidae.
AUCUAUACAAUACAUUGACAGUUACUGCCCAGUACAUCCCGAUACCCACUGCCCAUACCCACCACAACACAGCCAUCUAUACAAUACAUUGACCGUUACUGCCCAGUACAUCCCGAUACCCACUGCACAAACACACCACAACACAGCCAUCUAUACAAUACAUUGUCAGUUACUGCCCAGUAUAUCCCGAUACCCACUGCCCAAACCCACCACAAC